GCCUACGGCCAUACCACCCUGAAAGCGCCCGAUCUCGUCUGAUCUCGGAAGCUAAGCAGGGACGGGCUUGGUUAGUACCUGGAUGGGAGACCGCCUGGGAAUACCAGGUGUUGUAGGCWUU
This 121-nucleotide ribosomal RNA is filed under the name Xenopus tropicalis (tropical clawed frog). The record is from RNAcentral. Lineage: Eukaryota; Metazoa; Chordata; Amphibia; Anura; Pipidae.